Molecule: ribosomal RNA, 253 nt
Filed under: uncultured bacterium
Lineage: Bacteria
Description: partial 16S ribosomal RNA
Rfam family: Bacterial small subunit ribosomal RNA
Source: RNAcentral
UACAGAGGGGGCAAGCGUUGUUCGGAAUUACUGGGCGUAAAGGGCGCGUAGGCGGCCUUCUAAGUCGAACGUGAAAUCCCCGGGCUCAACCCGGGAACUGCGUCCGGUACUGGAAGGCUUGAAUCCGGGAGAGGGAUGCGGAAUUCCAGGUGUAGCGGUGAAAUGCGUAGAUAUCUGGAGGAACACCGGUGGCGAAGGCGGCAUCCUGGACCGGCAUUGACGCUGAGGCGCGAAAGCCAGGGGAGCAAACGGG